GAUCAUGGCUCAGGAUGAACGCUAGCUACAGGCUUAACACAUGCAAGUCGAGGGGCAGCGGGAUUGUAGCAAUACAAUUGCCGGCGACCGGCGCACGGGUGAGUAACACGUAUCCAACCUUCCGGUUACUCGGGGNUAGCCUUUCGAAAGAAAGAUUAAUACCCGAUGGUAUAAAUUUUCCGCAUGGUUUGUUUAUUAAAGAUUCAUCGGUAACCGAUGGGGAUGCGUUCCAUUAGAUAGUAGGCGGGGUAACGGCCCACCUAG
RNAcentral lists this ribosomal RNA (264 nucleotides) under uncultured bacterium. RNAcentral describes it as "partial 16S ribosomal RNA". It matches the Rfam family "Bacterial small subunit ribosomal RNA", at positions 15 to 272 of the family's 1533-position model. The record is from RNAcentral.